Rhopalosiphum maidis (corn leaf aphid) is the source of this 420-nucleotide long non-coding RNA. RefSeq lists it as uncharacterized. Lineage: Eukaryota; Metazoa; Arthropoda; Insecta; Hemiptera; Aphididae. The record is from RefSeq and is a predicted model, not a curated record. The transcript is spliced from 2 exons.
ACUCAACUGCAUUUCUGUGAGCAGGGAGUCAAAACACGAAAGAACUGGACCUUUCAGCAGGAUUCAGCGCCUGCACAUAAAGCAAAAACCACACAACGCUGGUUAGAGGUCAAUUUACCUGAAUUUAUCGCCGCUCAAGAUUGGCCCUCGGGAAGUCCAGACCUCAAUCCUUUGGACUACAGACUGUGGAAUAUUUUAGAGGAGAAGGCCUGCUCUAAGCCCCAUCGAAAUAUCGAAUCAUUAAAAGCCGAUUUGGUAAAAUCAGCUGCCUCAAUACCGUUAGAAGUGGUGCGUGCUGUCAUAGACGAGUGGCCAGAUCGUUUGAAGAAGUGUAUAAAUGCAAAUGGUGGACAUUUUGAAUAGUAUUUAUUUUUUUUUAGUUAGUAAGUUAAUAAAGAAUAAAUAACAUCAGUUUUUUUA